Molecule: long non-coding RNA, 308 nt
Organism: Fukomys damarensis (Damara mole-rat)
Lineage: Eukaryota; Metazoa; Chordata; Mammalia; Rodentia; Bathyergidae
Exons: 3
Source: RefSeq, a predicted model, not a curated record
CUUGGUGAAGGGGAAGCUGCGCAGUGAACAGGACCUCAUUUCUUCUUGGCCCUGAAUCACAUCCUACUGACUCAGGUGCUGUGUUCUCACCCACCUCAUGAAGAACAUCUUGGUUGCUGAACAACUUAGGAAACUACAAAUAAAUCUUCCAUAAACUUUUGUGUGAACAGUUUCAACUACAUUGCAGCAAUAACAAGGAACAAAACUGCAGAAUCUCAAUGGCCAGAGGCUCCCAGUGGCGGUGUGAGAAGUCCUGGUGUUCAUUAUUGAGAGAAUCCACAUCCCAUGAGAAACACCAGCAUCAGACU